UUGGAGGGCAAGUCUGGUGCCAGCAGCCGCGGUAAUUCCAGCUCCAAUAGCGUAUAUUAAAGUUGUUGCAGUUAAAAAGCUCGUAGUUGAAUUUCGGGGUUCUACCGUUGGUCGGGCUUUGUCUGUACUGGCGUGUAGAAUUUCUACCUUCUGGGGAACCAUCAUGUUAUUAAUUUAACGUGGUGGGAAACCAGGACCUUUACCUUGAAAAAAUUAGAGUGUUCAAAGCAGGCUUAUGUCUGAAUACAUUAGCAUGGAAUAAUAGAAUAGGACGGUGGUCCUGUUUUGUUGGUUUCUGAAUCACCGUAAUGAUUAAUAGGGAUAGUUGGGGGCAUUAGUAUUCAAUUGUCAGAGGUGAAAUUCUUGGAUUUAUUGAAGACUAACUUCUGCGAAAGCAUUUGCCAAGGAUGUUUUCAUUAAUCAAGAACGAAAGUUAGGGGAUCGAAGACGAUCAGAUACCGUCGUAGUCUUAACCAUAAACUAUGCCGACUAGGGAUCGGACGAUGUUAAUUUUUCUUGACUCGUUCGGCGCCUUACGGGAAAC
RNAcentral lists this ribosomal RNA (544 nucleotides) under uncultured Glomeromycotina. RNAcentral's name for it is "SSU rRNA". It matches the Rfam family "Eukaryotic small subunit ribosomal RNA", at positions 548 to 1098 of the family's 1831-position model. The record is from RNAcentral. Lineage: Eukaryota; Fungi; Glomeromycota.